RNAcentral lists this ribosomal RNA (254 nucleotides) under uncultured bacterium. RNAcentral's name for it is "partial 16S ribosomal RNA". It matches the Rfam family "Bacterial small subunit ribosomal RNA", at positions 524 to 776 of the family's 1533-position model. The record is from RNAcentral.
UACGUAGGGUGCGAGCGUUGUCCGGAAUUAUUGGGCGUAAAGAGCUCGUAGGCGGUGUGUCACGUCGGCCGUGAAAACCUGCAGCUUAACUGUGGGCGUGCGGUCGAUACGGGCAUCACUGGAGUUCGGCAGGGGAGACUGGAAUUCCUGGUGUAGCGGUGAAAUGCGUAGAUAUCUGGAGGAACACCGGUGGCGAAGGCGGCAUCCUGGACCGGCAUUGACGCUGAGGAGCGAAAGCCAGGGGAGCAAACGGG